RNAcentral lists this transfer RNA (72 nucleotides) under bacterium. RNAcentral's name for it is "tRNA-Cys". It matches the Rfam family "tRNA". Rfam says of the family: Transfer RNA (tRNA) molecules are approximately 80 nucleotides in length. Their secondary structure includes four short double-helical elements and three loops (D, anti-codon, and T loops). Further hydrogen bonds mediate the characteristic L-shaped molecular structure. tRNAs have two regions of fundamental functional importance: the anti-codon, which is responsible for specific mRNA codon recognition, and the 3' end, to which the tRNAs corresponding amino acid is attached (by aminoacyl-tRNA synthetases). tRNAs cope with the degeneracy of the genetic code in two manners: having more than one tRNA (with a specific anti-codon) for a particular amino acid; and 'wobble' base-pairing, i.e. permitting non-standard base-pairing at the 3rd anti-codon position. The record is from RNAcentral.
GGCGCAAUGGUGAAGAGGAAACACGUUCGUCUGCAAAACGAAUAUGCGGGGGUUCGAUUCCCCCUUGCGCCU